This 1415-nucleotide long non-coding RNA is filed under the name Homo sapiens (human). Its description in RNAcentral is "HSALNT0281074". The record is from RNAcentral. Lineage: Eukaryota; Metazoa; Chordata; Mammalia; Primates; Hominidae.
CUGUUGCCAGGCUGGAGUGCAGUGGUGCCAUCUAGGCUCACUGCAACCUCUGCUUGCCUGGUUCAAGCAAUUCCCCUGCCUCAGCCUCCCGUGUAGCUGGGACUACAGGCGCGUGAGGAUUUCCUAAUUUUUUAAGGUAGCAGAAGACAGCACCUGCUGUGAAUCCAGGUUCUACUGGGAAGUCCUAGCUCCUCACCUCUGGUACCUCUUUAUUCUUUCAGCCCUACAGACUGUACUGACACCAUAUAAUUGCUAAUUUCUGAGUUGGCUCAUCAUCCUCAAUUUUAAUCCAUCUGAUGUUUUUAUAACUAGCUCCCUGCAGUAAGUACUUUGUAAUGAACUAUUUGAUGUGAGUCUGUCUUCCCCACUGGAUCCUCAUACACGUGGAAAAUACAGCACUAAAUUUAGUACAUUUUGUAGAGAAUAUUAGUCAUUAGUACUUGCAUUUACCUUCUCUGUUUCUAGAGGUUGGCUUCUUUGCAAAAGGAUUGUUUUGAUUCUGCUUAAUAUUUUGCAUUUUAUAUGAAAACUGACAUAAAUUAAUCUGCAUAAGCAUUAUAAUUUAGCACUUUAUAUUUGGUCAAUACUUUGUAAAUAUUAGUUAGUGAAAGAAACACUAAUUUUUAUAGGAAUGUAAUACAAAACUAUGAACCGGGGUCCACAAAGUUUUUCUGUAAAGGGCCAGUUAGUAAACACUUUAAGCUUUGCAGGCCAUAUAAUCUCUGCCACAACUACUUAACUCUGCUGCUGUACCAUGAAUGCAGUAAUAGACAAUAUGUAAACAAGUGAGCAUGGCUGUGUUCCAAUAAAACUUUAUUUACAAAAAAGGUAGUGGGUUUGAUUUGUCCCACAAACCAUAGUUUAUUGACCCUGCUGUAAACUAUCUAGACUUUUGAUUCCGUAUGCUCCGUUGAUAUCUCAUAUACACACUGCAUGUGUCUAUAUUAUUUUAUAUAAAAGAAAAACAUACAGUUUUCUUCUCCCAAAGUAAGUCAAUUUUUCAAAGAUCUGGUAACGUUUACACUCUCAGUAUUUCAUUCUUUCAAAAGAUUGAUAUCUUAGGGAAAAAAAGGUCAUUAAGCCAAAACAUUAGACCUCAGGGAUAAACCUGCAGAAAAUUGAUUGAGUGAUCAAACCAACUUACUCUUUUGUAAAAGUCUCCCUGCCCUCUUAUUCAGAAGGAUGAAUGAUAUCUCGACAAUGAGCCAGGAUUUUUUAUUUUCAGCAUCAAAUUUUUGUUCUACUUCUCAAACAUUCUCCCCAAAUAUCAAAUACUUAAAAAAUGAAAUUGUUUUAGUCCCACAUAGUUAACAAAGAACAUAUGAACUAUUUACAUUUCCACUAAACUUAGUCAUUUUGAAGGCACAUUCCAGUUUGUUUUAUUUUCCUUAACAUCCAAUUUAGUUUCUGUCUCC